AGCCAGACUCCUACGGGAGGCAGCAGUGAGGAAUAUUGGUCAAUGGCCGGAAGGCUGAACCAGCCAAGUCGCGUGAGGGACGACUGCCCUAUGGGUUGUAAACCUCUUUUAUAAGGGAAGAAUAAAUGCUACGUGUAGCAUGAUGCCUGUACCUUAUGAAUAAGCAUCGGCUAACUCCGUGCCAGCAGCCGCGGUAAUACGGAGGAUGCGAGCGUUAUCCGGAUUUAUUGGGUUUAAAGGGUGCGUAGGCGGUUUGAAAAGGAGGGGGAAAAACUCCGGGGCCAACCCCGGUCCCGCCGUUGAAACUGGCGAACUCGAGAGGGAGAGAAGUAGGCGGAAUGCGCAGUGUAGCGGUGAAAUGCAUAGAUAUCACGCAGAACCCCGAUUGCGAAGGCAGCCUUCCGGCGCCCUACUGACGCUGAGGCACGAAAGUGCGGGGAUCGAACAGGAUUAGAUACCCCUGUA
Molecule: ribosomal RNA, 465 nt
Filed under: uncultured bacterium
Lineage: Bacteria
Description: bacterial SSU rRNA
Rfam family: Bacterial small subunit ribosomal RNA
Source: RNAcentral